Molecule: transfer RNA, 73 nt
Filed under: Brucella melitensis
Lineage: Bacteria; Pseudomonadati; Pseudomonadota; Alphaproteobacteria; Hyphomicrobiales; Brucellaceae
Also listed under: 1 other name
Description: tRNA-Met
Rfam family: tRNA
About the family: Transfer RNA (tRNA) molecules are approximately 80 nucleotides in length. Their secondary structure includes four short double-helical elements and three loops (D, anti-codon, and T loops). Further hydrogen bonds mediate the characteristic L-shaped molecular structure. tRNAs have two regions of fundamental functional importance: the anti-codon, which is responsible for specific mRNA codon recognition, and the 3' end, to which the tRNAs corresponding amino acid is attached (by aminoacyl-tRNA synthetases). tRNAs cope with the degeneracy of the genetic code in two manners: having more than one tRNA (with a specific anti-codon) for a particular amino acid; and 'wobble' base-pairing, i.e. permitting non-standard base-pairing at the 3rd anti-codon position.
Source: RNAcentral
GCGGGGUGGAGCAGCCCGGUAGCUCGUCAGGCUCAUAACCUGAAGGCCGCAGGUUCAAAUCCUGCCCCCCGCA